AUUGAACGCUGGCGGCAGGCUUAACACAUGCAAGUCGAGCGGGGGAAGGUAGCUUGCUACCGGACCUAGCGGCGGACGGGUGAGUAAUGCUUAGGAAUCUGCCUAUUAGUGGGGGACAACAUCUCGAAAGGGAUGCUAAUACCGCAUACGUCCUACGGGAGAAAGCAGGGGAUCUUCGGACCUUGCGCUAAUAGAUGAGCCUAAGUCGGAUUAGCUAGUUGGUGGGGUAAAGGCCUACCAAGGCGACGAUCUGUAGCGGGUCUGAGAGGAUGAUCGGCCACACGGGGACUGGGACACGGCCCAGACUCCUACGGGAGGCAGCAGUGGGGAAUAUCGGACAAUGGGGGGAACCCUGAUCCAGCCAUGCCGCGUGUGUGAAGAAGGCCUUAUGGUUGUAAAGCACCUUAAGCGAGGAGGAGGCUACUCUAGUUAAUACCUAGGGAUAGUGGACGUUACUCGCAGAAUAAGCACCGGCUAACUCUGUGCCAGCCGCCGCCGUAA
This 501-nucleotide ribosomal RNA is filed under the name uncultured bacterium. RNAcentral describes it as "partial 16S ribosomal RNA". It matches the Rfam family "Bacterial small subunit ribosomal RNA", at positions 30 to 523 of the family's 1533-position model. The record is from RNAcentral.